UUACUGGCUCAGGACGAACGCUGGCGGCACGCUUAACACAUGCAAGUCGAACGAACGGAGAUAGCUUGCUAUCAAAGUUAGUGGCGGACGGGUGAGUAACACGUGAGCAAUCUGCCUUUAAGUGGGGAAUAACGAUUGGAAACGGUCGGUAAUACCGCAUAAAAUAGCUGAACCGCAUGAUUUGGCUAUCAAAGAUUUAUCGCUUAAAGACGAGCUCGCGUCUGAUUAGCUGGUUGGUGAGGUAACGGCCCACCAAGGCGACGAUCAGUAGCCGGACUGAGAGGUUGAACGGCCACAUUGGGACUGAGACACGGCCCAGACUCCUACGGGAGGCAGCAGUGGGGAAUAUUGCACAAUGGGCGCAAGCCUGAUGCAGCGAUGCCGCGUGAGGGAAGAAGGUUUUCGGAUUGUAAACCUCUGUUGACAGGGACGAUAAUGACGGUACCUGUUCAGAAAGCUCCGGCUAACUACGUGCCAGCAGCGGC
RNAcentral lists this ribosomal RNA (485 nucleotides) under uncultured bacterium. RNAcentral's name for it is "bacterial SSU rRNA". It matches the Rfam family "Bacterial small subunit ribosomal RNA", at positions 16 to 518 of the family's 1533-position model. The record is from RNAcentral.